CUCAAAGCAUGCGCCCUUUAAUGGGGAGUUCAGGGUUUAGUGGCCAACCAGUUGCUCCAUUUUCUGCACCACCUCAAGGGACACCAUUUUAUGCACCACCUCAAGGGACACCAUUUUCAGCACCACCUCAAGGGGCACCAUUCUAUGCACCACCUCAAGGGACACCAUUUUCAGCACCACCUCAAGGGACACCAUUUUCAGCACAGCAAGGGAUGACACCACCACCUAUAGGUUCUCCUUUUGCACCACAGAUGCAACCACAGUCUGU
RNAcentral lists this long non-coding RNA (268 nucleotides) under Populus trichocarpa (black cottonwood). RNAcentral describes it as "long non-coding RNA (PTRI_LNC001410)". The record is from RNAcentral. Lineage: Eukaryota; Viridiplantae; Streptophyta; Magnoliopsida; Malpighiales; Salicaceae.